Herpailurus yagouaroundi (jaguarundi) is the source of this 271-nucleotide long non-coding RNA. RefSeq lists it as uncharacterized. The record is from RefSeq and is a predicted model, not a curated record. NCBI's taxonomy places the organism in Eukaryota, Metazoa, Chordata, Mammalia, Carnivora, Felidae. The transcript is spliced from 2 exons.
UUCCUCUCCUUCAUAUGGUUAAAGAGACGUCAACGUGAAGGAGCUAAUUUUCCCACUUGGAGGAGUGGAUCACAAAGUGGCAUCCUGUAAUUCUGCAAAAUAAUUUAAUGGGCAAUAUGUGAAGAAGAAAAGGGCAGGCGCUUGCAGCAAGAAGGCUCUUCUGCACAUGUCAUCCGACAAAGAACGGGCAUGCAAAGGUCUUCCCGCUAUUUUCAGGCAUCCCACAUGCUAAUUAUAAUGAGUGGUAUUGUCAUCUGGCUUCCCGUACACA